RNAcentral lists this ribosomal RNA (483 nucleotides) under uncultured bacterium. RNAcentral describes it as "partial 16S ribosomal RNA". It matches the Rfam family "Bacterial small subunit ribosomal RNA", at positions 30 to 507 of the family's 1533-position model. The record is from RNAcentral.
UUGCACGCUGGCGGCAGGCCUAACCCCUGCCAGUCGAGCGGAUGAAGGGAGCUUGCUCCUGGAUUCAGCGGCGGACGGGUGAGUAAUGCCUAGGAAUCUGCCUGGUAGUGGGGGAUAACGUCCGGAAACGGGCGCUAAUACCGCAUACGUCCUGAGGGAGAAAGUGGGGGAUCUUCGGACCUCACGCUAUCAGAUGAGCCUAGGUCGGAUUAGCUAGUUGGUGGGGUAAAGGCCUACCAAGGCGACGAUCCGUAACUGGUCUGAGAGGAUGAUCAGUCACACUGGAACUGAGACACGGUCCAGACUCCUACGGGAGGCAGCAGUGGGGAAUAUUGGACAAUGGGCGAAAGCCUGAUCCAGCCAUGCCGCGUGUGUGAAGAAGGUCUUCGGAUUGUAAAGCACUUUAAGUUGGGAGGAAGGGCAGUAAGUUAAUACCUUGCUGUUUUGACGUUACCAACAGAAUGAGCACCGGCUAACUUCGUG